Long non-coding RNA from Juglans microcarpa x Juglans regia, 1077 nucleotides. RefSeq lists it as uncharacterized. NCBI's taxonomy places the organism in Eukaryota, Viridiplantae, Streptophyta, Magnoliopsida, Fagales, Juglandaceae. The record is from RefSeq and is a predicted model, not a curated record. The transcript has 3 exons.
AUUGUAAAAUGUUGAAUACAGUAGCCUUAUGUAAACGGCUUGUAAACGAUUCUGCUGAUAUGGAAAAAAUAAAACACACUGUUUCAUUUAAAAACCAAAACCACACCGCACUUCCCCUCCUCAGUUUCCCUCUCCUCAAUUCCCUCCCUCUCUGCAUUUCUUUCGCAUGAAGAAAUUGACUCCCACACUGAGUCGAAGAUGAUUCCAUCGCAGCCUCAGGUUCGUCUCCCACUGAAGCGAUUCUCUCUCUCUCUCUCUCUCCCCCCCCCUCUUCUGCGUUCCCUAAAUCAGAUUUGUAGUAAUCGUAGUCAUUUCUAUGUGGGUACUGUGGGUGUUUAUAUUUUUCCCGUCGUUGGGUCUAAAGUGCAUUGUGUUAUCUCUGAUUUCACUCCAUUUCAAGAUUAAGCCAAUCAAAUCUAUGGAUGUAGGAGUUUAUUGUUGUUGUUGUUGGGUUUGGGAAUUAAUUGUUGGUGGAAAAGAAAGGAGUUGGAGUAGUUCGAGAGACCUAGCCCAUUAGAUCUUGAAGGAUUUGGGUGCUGGUAUUUGCUUCUUGAUCUAUAAAUACAAGUUCAGGGAAAUAGCUAGAGCAAAAAUCAACAACUUACUUGAAAAUGUAAAAGAAAUAUAAACAACGGUAGAACCAUAGAAGAAUGAACUAAAAAAUAUUCCUUAGCCAAACCGAUGAAGAGAAAAGAAAAAGAAAAAAAAAAGUAGAGCUUUUCUAGAUUAUUCUCGGAUGCUUAAGCAAACUAUAUGUUCUUUUCAGCAAAAGAAAGAGUGAGUCUCUUCUGCUAGUUAUGAUGCAGUUGCUGAACGAACAUGGAACUAAAGACCAAAGAGAGCGUAAAAGACCAAAGAGAAAAAAAGAAGACCCACGAAGACGAAGACGAGACCCACGUUGUUACAUGUCGUGGUCUUGUUCUUGUUUUUGCUGGACUAAGAACUUUUUACGAAAUGCUGAACACAUCAAGAGAUCCCUCCCUUUCGAAGACGAAGAGUUUGGUACUUGUUUGAAACUUUUUUUUCUUUCAAAUGUCUUUUUUUUUCUACUUUUGCCUGUUCUCUCUCUCUCUCUCU